RNAcentral lists this unclassified non-coding RNA (253 nucleotides) under uncultured Pirellulaceae bacterium. RNAcentral describes it as "contains 16S-23S intergenic spacer region". It matches the Rfam family "Bacterial small subunit ribosomal RNA", at positions 524 to 776 of the family's 1533-position model. The record is from RNAcentral. Lineage: Bacteria; Pseudomonadati; Planctomycetota; Planctomycetia; Pirellulales; Pirellulaceae.
GACGAACCGUCCAAACGUUAUUCGGUAUCACUGGGCUUAAAGCGUGCGUAGGCGGCCUAGUAGGUGAGGUGUGAAAGCCCACGGCUCAACCGUGGAAUAGCGCUUCAAACCACUAGGCUUGAGGAUGGCAGGGGUGAUGGGAACUGAUGGUGGAGCGGUGAAAUGCGUUGAUAUCAUCAGGAACACCGGUGGCGAAAGCGCAUCACUGGGCCAUUUCUGACGCUGAGGAGCGAAAGCUAGGGUAGCGAACGGG